Orcinus orca (killer whale) is the source of this 4837-nucleotide long non-coding RNA. RefSeq lists it as uncharacterized. The transcript has 2 exons. The record is from RefSeq and is a predicted model, not a curated record. Lineage: Eukaryota; Metazoa; Chordata; Mammalia; Artiodactyla; Delphinidae.
CCGAGGCGUGUGUCGCCAGCAUGUGCAAGGGACUCGCCGCUGCUGUGGAGAGACAGUGAGUCAGCGCCCGUGCUUCUGGAUGGACCCUCGUCCCCACCACACAUUAACCACGUGAACAGCACAUCACAGCCUUCUGUGCCUAGAACACUCCAGGCCUUUUCAGAACCAUGCUCAGAGUCCACUUUAAACAGCAAAACCGGGACUUCCCUGGCGGCGCAGUGGUUAAGAAUCCACCUGCCAAUGCAGGGGACACGGGUUCGAGCCCUGGUCUAGGAAGAUCCCACAUGCUGCGGAGCAACUAAGCCCCUGCGCCACAACUACUGAGCCUGUGCUUUAGAACCCGUAACCCACAACUACUGAGCCCACACGAUGCAACUACUGAAGCCCGCGCACUUAGAGCCCAGGCUCCGCAACAAGAGAAGCCACCGCAAUGAGAAGCCUGUGCACCACAAUGAAGAGUAGCCCUCGCUCACCACAACUAGAGAAAGCCCACGUGCAGCAACGAAGACCCAAUGCAGCCAUACAUACAUAUACAUAGAGUUUUAUUAAAAAAACAAACAGCAAAACCACCAACAAAAAUUACAAAACAUGAAAACCGUGGCCCUAAGAAACAGUGAGUACAACACGUGUUCACAGUGGGAGCUGAAAUGAGGAGGGGGCACUGCCGAGUUGUGCUCGGCUGGGAACCAGCAUGCUGAACUCGAAUACUUUGCUGCUCUGCACAAGCCCGCAAAGGGCUGUGAAAUCAAUACAAUGAGUACUGAUCUGGGAGUUAUAAGUAAAUUUCAGUGAUCUGCAAGAAAUCUGCAAAUACGGAAUCCAUGGAUACAGGCUCAAGUGCGUGGGACCACCUACCAGGAGUCCCACAGAGCAGCAGCCUCACACGGGGCGGGUGUUGCAGAUGCAGAGGCAGAAUGAUGCCCCAGAGGAGGCGGCGCCGCCUCACUGCUAACCUGGCCACGCCCCACCAAGUCCAAGCAGCUCCUCCCCUUGCGCCAGCGGAAGACGGUGCUGGUCCGGCGGGCGCUCUGCCUGCUGCUACCACAACCUUCAAGUGGUUCCCGAAGGACGCUGGGGUAAGUCAACAGAGCACACCACCAGGCAGAUGGAGAAGGCUCCCACAAAACCCUUUCACCUCCUCAACACCUAGCAGGGCCUGGACCCCAGGGCAGCACAGGCUGGAGGCUGGGGCCACUUUCUUAUAAGAAGGAAUAAUACCUGUGAGCCCAGGGGAGACUAUUCAGGACAACAGGUGGGAACGCUGGUCAUACGAGGACACUGUCUGCAGGGUAAAGACACCUUUCCUCCCGAGACCACUGCCCCACAAGAUGGAGGUCUAGGGUAGCAGAGUCUCCACAAAAAUGGACUGAGUACCUGUGACCAUAACUGUGGUCCAGUGCAGAAGAGGCUGAAAAGUGGCCAGAGCAUGUUGGACUCAACCAAUGGAAUACACUGUUUUAACAGACUAAAGGAGUAACGACCAUCUUAACACAGAAAAAGUAUGUGACAAAAUUCAACACCCUUUCAUGAUAAAACUACUCAGCAAACCAGGAAUAAAAGGAAAACUCCUCAACAUAGUAACAUGUACGAUAACCCACAGUUAAUCAGCUUCAAUGGUGAGAGACUGGAUGCUUCCCCCAAGAUCAGGAACAAGACAAGGAUGCCUGCUUUGCCACUGCUAGUCAACACUGCAUUCGAAGUCCUACCAGGGCAGCUGGGCAGGAAAGGGGAAUAAAAGGCAUCCAAAUGGGAAAGGAGGUAAAAAACUAUCUCUACUGGCAGAUGACAUAAUCUUUAUAUAUAGAAAAUCUUAACAAAUUGACAUAAGGAAACCCCCUAAUCAAAAAGUAACACAAUCAGGGCUUUCCCGGUGGCUCAGUGGUUGAGAGUCCGCCUGCCGAUGCAGGGGACACGGGUUCGUGCACCGGUCUGGGAAGAUCCCACAUGCCGCGGAGCGGCUGGGCCCGUGAGCCAUGGCCGCUGAGCCUGCGCGUCCAGAGCCUGUGCUCCGCAACGGGAGAGGCCACAACCGUUAGAGUCCCGGCAAAAAAAAAAAAAAAAAAAAGCAAUACAAUCAAUUAGUAUUAGUUUUUGAAUUCAGCAAACUUGCAGGGUACAAGAUCAACAUGCAAAAAAAUCAGUUGUAUUUCUAUACAGUAGCAAUGAACAAUUUCAAAAGAAAAUUAUGAAAAGAAUUCCAUUUAGAAAAACAUUCAAAAGAAAUAAAAUAGGAAGAAUUUUAACCAAGACUUAAACACUGCAAGACUUAUAUACUGAAAACUAUAAAACACUGAAGAAAUCAAAGACCUAAAUAAAUGGAAAGACAUUCCAUGCUCAAGGAUUAGAGAAUUAAUAUCAUUAAGAUGGCAAUACUACCCAAAGCAAUCUACAGAUUCAAUGCAAUCCCUAUCAAAAUCCCAUUUUUUCCCCCAGAAAUGGAAAAGCUGAUCUUAAAAUUCACAUGGAAUUGUAAGGUAUCCAGAAUAGUCAGAACAUUCUUGAAAAAGGAUGGUGGACUCACACCUCCGGAUUUCAAAACUUCCUACACAGCUACAGUAGUCAAAACAGUGUGGUGUUGGCAUAAGGGUAGACACGAAAAUCAGUGAAAUAGAACUGAGAGAAAUAAAUGCAUACAUCUGAGGUCAACAGUUUCAACAGUGGAGCCAAGACCAUUCAAUGGGGAAAGAACAGUCUCUUCAACAGGUGGUGCUGGGACAACUGGAUCUCCACAUGCAAAACAAUGAAGCCGGGCCCUCACAUUAUAUACAAAAAUUAACUCAAAAUGCAUCAAGGACCUAAACAUAAGAGCUAAACUAUAAAACUCUUAGUAGAAGAAAACACAGGAGUCUAAGUGUAAGUCUUCAUAACCUCAGAUCUGGCAAUGAAUUCUUACAUAUGACACCAAAAGCAUAAGAAACAAAAGGGAAAAUAAACUUGACUUCAUCAAAAUUAAAAACUUUUGUGCAUUAAAGACACUAUCAAGAAAGUGAAAAGACAAACCCACUGAAUGGAAGAAAAUAUCUGCAAAUCAUAUACAGGUAUCCCCCCACGCCCCCCUUUGCAAAAGUUCCCUUUAUGCCACUUCACUUUUAUGAAAGACCUACGUUAGUACCCAUUUUUGGUAAUGGAAAGAAAUCUGAAGAGGAUUUUCACUUUUAUGGAGAAAGGCAAAAAGCAAAAAUAGCGUUUACCAUGUGUUUUGCAGCGAGCCAUUGGAGAGGCAGCAGCAGCCCGAGCAGUGAGUGACAUCGCCAAGUUCCUCCCCAGGAACCAUACUCCAUCUCAGCAUCAAGCCGCCAGAGCUCUGAACUGUGUCUCUGAGUGUCUGUGCUCUACCUUGACUCAUUUUGUGCAUCUGUUAGGUUUCACAGGAACCCUCUUACUUUGGAUAGCAGGGGAAACCUGUAUCUGAUUAGGACCUAGUAUCCAGAAUAUAUAAAGAGCUCCUAUAACUCGACAACAAACAACCCAAUUUAGAAAAAAAGUCUAAGGAUUUAGACAUUUCUUCAAAGACGCUAUACAAAUAACCAACAAGCACAUGAAAAGAUGCUCAACACCAUUAGUCAUGGGGAAAAUGCAAAUCAAAACCACAAUUAAGAGUAAGAUGGCCAUGAUCAAAAUAAAGGAGAAAAUACCAAGUGAGGAUGUGGACAAAUAAGAACCUUUGUACAUCAUUGAGGAUGGAAUGGAAAAUUGUUGUGGCUGCUGAGGAAAAGUUUGGUGGCUACUCAAUAAAUUAACAGAGAAUUACCAUACAACCCAGUAAUUUCACUCCUAGGUAUACACCCAAAAGAAAUGAAAACAAGGACUCAAACCGAUACCUGUAUAUGAAUGUCAUAGCAGCAAUAUUCCCAAUAGCCAGAAGGUGGAAACAACCAAAAUGCCCAUCAACUGAUGAAUGAAUAAACAAAAUGGAAACAUAUUCAGCUAAGGAAUGAUGUACACAUGCUACAACAUGGAUGAACCUCAAAACAUUGUGCUAAGAGGCCAGCUAAGAAGAGCCACAAUUCAUACGAUUCCAUCCACAGGAAAUAUCCAGUACAGGUAAAUCCACAGAGAUGUAAAGUACAUUAGUGGUUACCAGGGAAGUGGGGAAUGGGGAGUAACUGCUUAAUGAGUGUGAGAUUUCCUUUUGGGGUGAUGAAAACGCUUUUCAACUAGUUAGAGGUGAUGGCUUCAAAAUACUGUGAAUGUACUUAAUGCCACUGAACCACAUACUUUAAAAUGGUAAACUUUAUAUUAUGUGUAUUUUAUUGAAUACCACAAUUUUAAAAAAAAUACAGAUGAUUUGAACCCUAAGGAGACACUGGGUAUAAAAGAAUUAUUGUUGGGACUUCCCUGGUGGCACAGUGGUUAAGAAUCCGCCUGCCAAUGCAGGGGACAUGGGUUCGAGCCCAGGUCCGGGAAGAUCCCACGUCGCGGAGCAACUAAGCCCGUGCGCCACAACUACUGAAACUGCACUCUAGAGCCCGCGAGCCACAACUGCUAAGCCCGCGUGCCACAACUACUGCAGCCCGUGUGCCUAGAGCCUGUGCUCUGCAACAAAGAGUAGCCCCCGCUCCCACAACUAGAGAAAGCCCGUGCACAGCAACGAAGACCCAACGCAGCCAAAAACUAACUAAAAGAAUUACUGUUUAUUUUUAAAACUAUAACAAUGGUAUUGUGCUUAUAUACUAAAAGAGAGUCCUUCUUUAGAGACGCAUGCCAAAACAGGGAAUGACAUGUCUGGAUCUGGGUGGGAGCAGAUGGGACGGGUGAGGAAUAUGGAACAAGGCUGGCUGUGAAUUAAUUUUCAGAAAGUUUGUAAUUUUCCGUAAUAAAAAUUUAAAAUACCAAA